This 358-nucleotide long non-coding RNA is filed under the name Ananas comosus (pineapple). Its description in RNAcentral is "long non-coding RNA (ACOM_LNC023442)". The record is from RNAcentral. Lineage: Eukaryota; Viridiplantae; Streptophyta; Magnoliopsida; Poales; Bromeliaceae.
UAUUACUUGACACAAAGUCUUUUAAAUUAUAUAUAUAAAUCAAUUAAAAUACUACACAUUAUGCUUGUCAACGCAUUAAUAAUUUUUCAAAAAACCUUCAAGAUUACUCAAUUUUGCCCCCCACCCCCCUAUUAGAUAAGUUUUGAAAUGACUCGACCUGCCAACAAUAAUAACUCGUUGGGUCAAACCACCGGCCCAAAAUGCAAAUAACUCGUUUGGCCAAACCAUCGAACUAAAAUACUUAAUGUGCAGUUAUUAUUACUAGCGUGUAAGGCUCAUAUAAACUGAUCUGGAUUAGUAUUUCAUCCGAUAUGGAAUACUAUUGAGGCGUUACAAGAUUAAAACAGGAGUAUUUGUA